AGGAGAGGAUUCAGAGAUUCGGGAAUUAGGGAGGUUAAGAAGAAGGGAGGAUACAAGGUUUUUGAGUAGGGGUCAGAAAAGGAACUUCUGGCAAUCAAUGCUGAAAGGUCGAUGUGUUAGACUAGUGAAUCGGGGUUUUAAUGAAGUGGGUGUGAUUAUUCUUGAUUGUUUUGUGAAAUCGAAGUUACAUCUGUGAUUGAAGAAUUAAAAGGGUGUGUAUAGGAUUGAGUAUGCAGAGUGAAUUAAAAUUUUUGGGUUAA
RNAcentral lists this long non-coding RNA (260 nucleotides) under Physcomitrium patens. Its description in RNAcentral is "long non-coding RNA (PPAT_LNC011924)". The record is from RNAcentral. Lineage: Eukaryota; Viridiplantae; Streptophyta; Bryopsida; Funariales; Funariaceae.